RNAcentral lists this ribosomal RNA (253 nucleotides) under uncultured bacterium. RNAcentral describes it as "partial 16S ribosomal RNA". It matches the Rfam family "Bacterial small subunit ribosomal RNA", at positions 524 to 776 of the family's 1533-position model. The record is from RNAcentral.
UACGGGGGGGGCAAGCGUUGUUCGGAAUUACUGGGCGUAAAGGGCUCGUAGGCGGCCAACUAAGUCAGACGUGAAAUCCCUCGGCUUAACCGGGGAACUGCGUCUGAUACUGGAUGGCUUGAGUUCGGGAGAGGGAUGCGGAAUUCCAGGUGUAGCGGUGAAAUGCGUAGAUAUCUGGAGGAACACCGGUGGCGAAGGCGGGUCUCUGGGCCGAUACUGACGCUGAGGAGCGAAAGCGUGGGGAGCGAACAGG